GGGGUCCUACGGGACGCAGCAGUGGGGGAUAUUGCACAAUGGGGGGAACCCCGAUGCAGCGACGCCGCGUGGGUGAAGGAGCGUUUCGGCGCGUAAAGCCCUAUCGGCAGGGAAGAAGAUGACGGUACCUGACCAAGAAGCCCCGGCUAACUACGUGCCAGCAGCCGCGGUAAUACGUAGGGGGCAAGCGUUAUCCGGAUUUACUGGGUGUAAAGGGGGCGCAGACGGCAAUGCAAGCCAGGAGAGAAAGCCCGGGGCCCAACCCCGGGACGGCUCUUGGAACUGCAUG
RNAcentral lists this ribosomal RNA (289 nucleotides) under uncultured bacterium. RNAcentral's name for it is "partial 16S ribosomal RNA". It matches the Rfam family "Bacterial small subunit ribosomal RNA", at positions 333 to 639 of the family's 1533-position model. The record is from RNAcentral.